This 484-nucleotide ribosomal RNA is filed under the name uncultured bacterium. Its description in RNAcentral is "partial 16S ribosomal RNA". It matches the Rfam family "Bacterial small subunit ribosomal RNA", at positions 30 to 507 of the family's 1533-position model. The record is from RNAcentral.
AUUGAAUGCUGGCGGCAGGCCUAACACAUGCAAGUCGAGCGGAUGAAGGGAGCUUGCUCCUGGAUUCAGCGGCGGACGGGUGUGUAAUGCCUAGGAAUCUGCCUGGUAGUGGGGGAUAACGUCCGGAAACGGGCGCUAAUACCGCAUACGUCCUGAGGGAGAAAGUGGGGGAUCUUCGGACCUCACGCUAUCAGAUGAUCCUAGGUCGGAUUAGCUAGUUGGUGGGGUAAAGGCCUACCAAGGCGACGAUCCGUAACUGGUCUGAGAGGAUGAUCAGUCACACUGGAACUGAGACACGGUCCAGACUCCUACGGGAGGCAGCAGUGGGGAAUAUUGGACAAUGGGCGAAAGCAUGAUCCAGCCAGGCCGCGUGUGUGAAGAAGGUCUUCGGAUUGUAAAGCACUUUAAGUUGGGAGGAAGGGAAGUAAGUUAAUACCUUGCUGUUUUGACGUUACCAACAGAAUAAGCACCGGCUAACUUCGUG